This 1127-nucleotide ribosomal RNA is filed under the name Seison sp. MS-2015. RNAcentral's name for it is "l-rRNA". The stretch from base 771 to 1076 matches the Rfam family "Archaeal large subunit ribosomal RNA", at positions 2151 to 2715 of the family's 2987-position model. The record is from RNAcentral. Lineage: Eukaryota; Metazoa; Rotifera; Pararotatoria; Seisonacea; Seisonidae.
UGGUGUUAUAAAGUUUUUUAUUUUUUGUUUAGGAAAUUUUUUUAUAAUUUAAUGUAUUAGUAUUUUUUAGAAUAUUUAUUUUAUUUAAGAGGUUACUUUAUUUUGAAAAAUUGAAAUAAUAUUUAUUUUUUAUGGUUAAAAUUUUGCCUUUUGUAUUAUGAUAGUUAGACGGGAAAUAUCUUAAGGAUUAUUUUCGAAUUAAGAAGAUUUAUAUUGGGUUUAUUCUAGUGUGGCAUUAUUAGGAUUAAAUUUUUUAUAGUAAUGAAAAGUUUUCGUUUCUUAUAUUUCUAAUUUUAUUAUUUACAGUUUAGCUGUAGGUUAGUUUUUAGCUUGAUUUUUGGUUUAGUUAGGAGUCAGAGAGUGUUUCUAUGGUUUUAUUUUUUAAUUAGUGUUAAUAAUUUUAUUAUAGUUUGUUAUAAUUAUAUUUAUUUUAUUAAGAUAAAUUGUAUAGUCUCUUAUUAACUAUUUAUAAUUAUUUAGUUUUUGAAUAUUAGUUUAUUAGUAUAUUCUUUUUAUUUGUUAGGAUAGUUAAUUUAUUUUUAUGAAUUCGACAAAAGUUUAAGCUAAAUGUUUAAUAAAAACAUUUUCUCAUGUAUUUUGUGAGAUAUAUUCUGCCCGGUGUAAUUUAACGGCCGCAGGAUUUUUACUGUGCUAAGGUAGCGUAAUCAUUAGCUUUUUAAUAGGAGGCUUGUAUGAAUGAGUGAAUAGUUUAAUAUUUUAUUAAUAUAAUUUUUUGAAAUUUAAUUUAAAGUGAAAAUUCUUUAAUUUUUAUUAAGACGAGAAGACCCUAGAAAGCUUUAUUAUAUUAAAUAAGUUUAUUAAUUAAUUUAACUGGGGCGGUUUUAUAUAGUUUUAAACAUAUUAGUUUUAAAAUUUGAUGAGGUGUUGUUUAGUUACUUUAGGGAUAACAGGGUAAUUUUCUUGGAGAGUUCUUAUCGGUAAGAAAGUUUACUACCUCGAUGUUGGAUUAUUUUUAUACUUAGGCGCAGAAGUUUGAGUGGUGAGUCUGUUAGACUUUUAAAAAAGUACAUGAUCUGAGUUUAAACCGGUGUGAGCCAGGUUGGAUUUUAUCUAGUUUAUUAGUUUUUUAGUACGAAAGGAAUUAAAACUUUAAUUAUUAUUAAUUU